This 882-nucleotide long non-coding RNA is filed under the name Salmo salar (Atlantic salmon). RNAcentral describes it as "lncRNA (ENSSSAG00000108453.1)". Lineage: Eukaryota; Metazoa; Chordata; Actinopteri; Salmoniformes; Salmonidae. The record is from RNAcentral.
CAGUGAAUGAGACGAGUUUGAAAUUGGUCACAGGGGAUGGGCCAUCACCAUUAUGACGCCGGCGGCCAUGUCUGCCCCCACCUUUGGAAACGGUUUUAAAGGCCAUGACAUCAUCCCCCUCGAAUCUUAUUGGCUCUCUUGGUGUUAGAGUCCCUGAAGAUUUAUUUUAUACAACGUUUGACAUGUUUGAACGAACCUACAUGCGCGAGGAUUGCUUUCAUUAUGAACUUCAGAGCUGCGCUUGGAGAGAGCCAUAGGACGCGCUACCAACAUCAGGCUAAUGGAACGUGAAGUAUGGACUUUUUGACCGAAAAUACAUCUGUUGUGGACCUGGGAUGCUUUCUGAUGAAGACAACUAAAGGAAGCUAUGCUGGGGUUUGAUGAUGUCCUAUCUGACAGUAUGACUCUCUGAAGAGUUGCAGUUAUACACCUGUGGAGGUGAUCUAAUAGCUACUUCGUAAAGAUGGCUGCUUAAAUCGUCCCACCAUCAGGUUACCUGGAGCCACGAAAUAUUUCUAUCUGAGCGUUCCAGUCCCGUUGUGUCCUGAAGGAACGCGCCCCUGGAAGAUAAGCCAGAGAUAUUACAGAAAGGAGACGCCACUCCCUCAUUUCGGUCUGAUGAGGGGGCGGGGCCACUCUGGUCUGCUUAAUGAGGGAGUGGGUCUAUGAGGGGUGUCUCGCUUUCUCAACUCUCUCUGGAUAGGCUACCAAAGGUAGUGCCCACGCUGUUAUCCAGCGACACCCUAAGUGAGAGACUGAUCAACCACUACAGGAAGUGAGAGACUGAUCAACCACUACAGGAAGUGAGAGACUGAUCAACCACUACAGGAAGUGAGAGACUGAUCAACCACUACAGGAAGUGAGAGACUGAUCAACCACUAC